This is a long non-coding RNA of Zalophus californianus (California sea lion), 520 nucleotides long. RefSeq lists it as uncharacterized. Lineage: Eukaryota; Metazoa; Chordata; Mammalia; Carnivora; Otariidae. The record is from RefSeq and is a predicted model, not a curated record. The transcript is spliced from 3 exons.
GGGACAGGGACGGACGCUCCAGCUGCAGGCAAGUUCCUAGAAAGUCCACUGAAAUGGAUGUCAUUCCUUUGCUACCAGAAAACUGAGGUGCAGAGAGAUCCUGGUGGUGGUUGGAAGCUGCCGUGAUUCUCCAAGCUGCUGGGCCUGCCGCGCAGGUGGUUUCCCCAACAGACCCAACAGUAUUCAGGCACCAACCAUCAUCUUGAAACAACUGGUAUUCGGCUGCCAUCCUUUGGAAUGCUCCACUGGCUCGUUUCAUUCAUGUUCGAAGUGAGGACUCGAAAUCUACCAUGUGGUCAGCAUGUGCUCCGUAUUGAGGAAGAACAAAAUACUUUAAACACCAUUCCUAACUUCCACGAGCUGUGUGGCUGUUGGGGAGCAAUGAUAAAUGGAGUGGCGCGGAAACUAAAUGCUCCCAGACCUCCGGGGAGGCGUGGGUAGGGGGGCUACCUGGUUAGCUCAGGCCUGUUCUCUCCCUCCUGUCUCCCGGUUCUCUUUGUGGCUUUGAAAAAUAAAUGCA